Molecule: unclassified non-coding RNA, 6735 nt
Filed under: Homalodisca vitripennis (glassy-winged sharpshooter)
Lineage: Eukaryota; Metazoa; Arthropoda; Insecta; Hemiptera; Cicadellidae
Description: protein still life, isoforms C/SIF type 2, transcript variant X13
Source: RNAcentral
CCACUCGCACCCUUCACACAAGACAUUUCUACAUUGUCGUUUAUAUGUUUUGCGGUUUUAAUUGUUUUCCGAAUAUUUAUUAGCGGACGGACAGUUUCUCGCCGGUGUUUUCGCGUACCUCGGAGGGCGGGGCUCUUUUCUACCCGGCCGAAGGCUAAACAUUUAGUUAAAAGUGAAAUUGUGUUUAAAGUGAAGUUUUGUGGAGCUAACAAGGCUUGACCCCUUAGGACUUCAAUUUGGCAGUGGAGAGAAUCAGCUGAUGUCUCCCGCUGGUGGUGCCGCCUAGCGGACCUGUCGCGCACUACCUAGUGUGAAGUCUACAAUCACGGUGUGAGGUUGAACCGCUCCCCGUCGCGCUGUCGUACCCCUUGUCAUUUGAAUCUGUCACUUCAGUUUUUACAUAAUGGGUGCCAAAGCGAGUGUUUUACAGCAAGGAUUGCCCGAGCGCCAGAAUUCGGCGAGGGAACAACAGAGUUGCGGCGACGUCCACGGAGCCGGGGCUAGGGCCAUGAGCUGGUGACCACAGUCUACCCCCGCUCCCGCCAUGGGCAACAAGUUGAGCUGCUCCUGCGCGCCGCUCAUCAGGAAGGCCUACCGAUACGAGGAUUCGCCCUGGCAGACGUCGCGGAGGCGGGACGGUCACUUGCUCAGGUUAUGGGCGGAGGUUUUCCACGUGAGUGCGAGCGGCGCAGGCACAGUCAAGUGGCAGCAGGUGUCUGAGGACCUGGUGCCUGUCAACAUUACCUGCAUCCAGGACUCUCCUGAAUGUGUCUUCCACAUCACCGCCUACAACAGCCAGGUUGACAAGAUCCUUGAUGUCCGGCUCGUUCAGCCUGGAACAAGGAUAGGACAAGCAUCGGAAUGUUUUGUCUACUGGAAGGAUCCAAUGACCAACGACACUUGGGGCCUAAACUUCACUUCUCCCAUUGACGCUAAACAGUUUCGGGAAUGCUGCUCGUGGUGGAGUGGCUAUCUACCUGAGCUCAACAAGGGGGAAGCUCUCAUCAAUCGGAGGAAAUCACAGCCUCCCCCCUUGUUGCAAGUUUUGUCACCUUCUUUUAAAUUCUCGCGCAAAGCGUCUUCCUCCUACUCGCUCAAAUUGGAACCGCCGAACAAACAGAAUAAAGUGAAGACCAAACGCAAGCCGUUAAGUACACCUGCGUCUCCCAGUCGCUCGAGGGAGCCGCAGUGCACAUGUAUGACGGCUGACCAGUACGCAAGGCUACGAGCCCAGGAUCCUAGGUAUAGAGGGUCAUCAACGUUACCGAGAGCUCAGUCACGAGUGAGUGACGUUGCGGAUGGGCGAGUGUCGACACUGGGAGACAAGGUGACAGCAGCUACAAGUAGUACUUCGCUGUACGACAAUGUCAGCGGGAGGGAGGCCAACAAGCCAGCAGCCGCAGGCAACCGUCAGACUAGGGAUCGGGAGACCAGCACUCCUGGUGGCAAGCUCAAUAAUUCUAAUCACGCCACCACGCAGGUCCCCGCUCAAUCUCAGACUGAGGAGGGUCAAGAGACAAGUAAAAGUGAAGGAACACAGGCAGGUGGGACUGUGAGUAGCACCAAGAUGACGACUGGCACUUGCACACCGAGACUGACCAAAGAUGCUCAACCUAGCCAACAGCACAAGGCCACCGGAGGCCCCGACUACGCAGAGGGUACUGACAUGGUGCGAGAGGCAGAGCUGCGAGCGGCUAACAACAACAACAACAUUAACAACAUCAACAACAAUAAUCGUGGCCGAACAACAAACAAUAAUAAUAAUAAAAUGGGCAAGGAUGAUGUUCGUUCAGGAGGUGGAGGUAUGAGUGUGGAUUCGAACACGUUGAAGCGAAUGUUGAAGCCGAUGCCAUCACUGGAAAGCCCUGUUACCAGUCCUGAGAUGACAAGGCGCAGGUACAACUACUACAACCACCACGGCAACCUGCACUACAACCACCAUGGCAACAACACUUCCAACAACAACGCUCGCCACGUGUUGUCUGAGUCCGAGACAAUGUCACGUCAUAAGGGCAAUCGCUUCUCGGGCUCAAGGUCCUCGCAUGAGAUAGGUAGAGGACAGCGGGACUAUCAGGGGCGGGGGUUGUUCCUGGAACUAGAGAGGAACGGAGGGGGUGCGGGGACCGGGGGUGACAUCUCCCCUCCGUCUGACAACGUACUGUUUGACAAUCAAUGCUAUGCAACAACCCCUAGCUCAAGUAACGGAAACUCCGACCUGGACCAGCCGUCCCACAGACAAGGUAGAGGUUAUCAGCGAGAUCAGCAAAUGGGUGCUGUGAGCACGCCAAGCUCCCCCACCAGCCGGCUCCUGCUGGAGUAUGAGAUGCAUCUACGCAACACGUUGGCCAAGGGGAUGGACGCAGAGAGCUACAGCCUCCAUACCUUCGAGGCCUUACUCACUCAGAGCAUGGAGAACUUAGUUGUGGCUGGGGGAGGGACUGCGUACAUAGUACUUCUCAAGGACUUGAUCUCAUGGCUUAAAGGACGCACCAAUGUUCUCCCUGGCAUUGAAGUCCCCUCCCCAGCUACCACCUCCAAACAUAAACCGGAAUUUGCUGAACAACUACCUGGCGUGAACACUAGAAGUCCCUACCCAUCAAGGCGUCGUGUUUGCACAGGACCGGGCAGCAGUGCAAGUAUGAACAAGUCAUCGACACUGCCCUUACCUCACAGGCUGAACAUGGAGCGGCCAGCUAGCAGUGCGGAGAGGAGGGACAGAGACAGAGAUAGAGAAGGCUAUUAUAGUGACCGCAACGAACUCAUGAGAGAAAGAGACAGAGACAGGGGUUAUCUUAGUGAUCACAACUCUUCCAGCAGAGACAGAAGCAGAGACGGGUACUACAGUGACAGAAACGAACUCAUGAGGGAAAGAGACCGUGAAAGAGGCUAUCUCAGUGAUCACAAUUCUUCCAGUCGAUGUGCCUCAUGCUUGGGUGAGUCCGCGCGUGCUCAAUGGUUUCGGCACUCAGAUGGCUGGCGCUCGGGCAGCUCCACACUCGGCUCAGGCUCAGUGAGCAACUACCAGGGCAGUACAGGCGGCAGCAAACGCUCCCCUUGGGACUCCUUGCCCUCCUUGCGGCACGAGAACAGUCUGAAUGACAGCGGUUAUAAGUCGAACCGUGCCGACUCUUUCGAACAAAGAGGCACAUUUGAUCGCCAGGAUAGUUUGCGUUCCGAUUACAUGAGCGAUCGAGAAUCACGUUACGGUAUCGUGCAGCAAGCCUCCAUAGAGAGCACGGACUCGCGGCUUUGUUAUCUCACAUCAUCUGAGAUGUCGGAUGAUGACCGGAUGUCACUGACGACUGCUGUCAGUGACGAAGAGGACGCCGAGAGUGUACACAACUCGCCGUACCGCGCCAAACAGACCGGCACGGCCGCUGCCUCCUUCAACUGUACUGGGGCAGUCAGGAAAGCUGGAUUCCUCAGUGUCAAGAAGUGGCUAUUGCGCAAGAAACACCAAAUUGAGUUGGCACGCAAGCGCGGCUGGAAGGGCUACUGGGUGUGUCUGAAGGGCACGACUCUGCUAUUCUAUCCAUGUGAUUCUCGCGAAGGAAGAUCUGUUGAAGCAGCUCCCAAGCACCUCAUCAUUGUAGAUGGCGCUAUUAUGCAGCCUAUCCCUGAACACCCAAAGAGGGAUUACAUAUUUUGCCUAAGUACAGCCUUUGGGGACGCCUAUCUCUUUCAGGCACCGUGUCAGGUAGAACUUGAGAACUGGGUAAAUAGUAUCCAUUCGGCCUGUGCAGCUGCAUUCGCUAGACAUCGGGGCAAGACAGGGACUCUACAUCUGCUGCAGGAAGAAAUUUACAGGCUUGAAAAGGCAAUUGAGUCUGAUCACAAGCUGAAGCAUAUGGCAGAUCUGCAGCAGAGUGUAGUGUCUGAUCCUGACACCAAGCAGCAGAUAAACACCCAGAUUGUUCAGUGGGAGGAGAAUUUAGAACGGUUACAUUGCGAACAGUUCCGGUUACGGUGCUACAUGGCUAGCCUUCAAAACGGGGAACUUCCUAAUCCCAAGAGCUUACUGACGCACGUUUCACGCGCCACAAAAGGAACGUUAAACAAGCUGGGCGUGUUUACCGUUUCUUCGUUCCAUGCUUUCAUAUGUGCCCGUUCACCCUCAUUGCUCAAUAACCUGCUGGCCGGUCGAGGAGCCACCAAGCGCCGGCCUCCUAUGCUCUCUCGCUCCAACAGCGGUUCCAGCCGGCGCUCGCUACAGAUGAGCUCGAGAGACGAAUCGGAGAAAACUGUCAAAGUCUCAGUGCCAGAGAACCAAUUUGUUCAUGUGUUCCUGAGAGAAGCGAUGUCAGUGGAGGAGUUUCUGGCGAGCGCGUGCAGUCGGAAAAACCUCAAUCCCAUGGAACAUUUUGUGAGAGUGAAGAAAAGAAGGGAUAUGGAAGACCAUAAUUACUUUGUACCUCAUCGAACGGACUUAAUCGAGACUUAUCUGCACACACAUGAGAUCGUGGAGGUGUGUGCCAAGAUCCUGUACCAGGUGGAGUUGCAGCGAACGACACUGGAACACAUGUGGGGGUUCUCGGUAGAAGCAGAGCUGAUAGAAAAUGCUGACCGACAAGACGAACUGUGUUGCUAUGUCAGCCGAGUUGAGGACAAAAGUGUUGCCAUGCACAAUGGGAUCAUCAAGAGUGAUGAGAUCAUGGUGAUCAACGGAGCAAUCGUGAGCGACCUAGACAUGAUGUACCUGGAGUCGGUGCUACAGGAGGAGUUGUCACUCUGUAUGAUGAUGCGCUCGUCUCGCACCGAGCCCCCAGACCUGGCACCCGGCAUCAUGCGCUCCACUGAUAUGGAGAUCGAGAGCCUGGUCUGCCCCCCACCCCCAUCUGAUCCUCCAGUCAUCAGUGAGGAAAUGAUCUCAGGUCUCAUUGUUCCUGCUCCAGGCUGGAGUAAGGAGCUUUAUUCCCCUGAAGCGGAAAAUCCUCCUGCACCUCCCAGUGAAAGUGGCAAACAGACAUCUCGUGCCAACUCAUUUGAAAUUGAAAAUCUUUUGAAGACGGCAGAGCAAGUGACUGGAUUCUGUCGCUCGCCAGGGGAGACACGGAAGUCCAGUCCGACGGGAAGUGUAGUCAGCACCACCUCACAGGCCCUUCUUACUCCCAGUCGUCAGCUUACUGAUGCUGAGAAGUUGCGGAAGGUUAUCCUUGAACUCAUCGACACGGAACGCACCUAUGUCAAGCAUCUGAACAGCCUGUUGGAGAACUACCUGGAGCCACUAAAGAAGGAGACGUUUCUGUCACAUGCAGAGAUCGCAGCUCUGUUCGGCAACAUCCAGGAAAUUGUGGCUUUCCAGCGGCAGUUUCUCCAGAACCUGGAUGAGGCCCUGGAAAUGGAACCAGACUUCCACAAGUUUGAGCAUCCUAGUCAAUUUAAAAAUGUCCUCUUUUCAAUCGGCAGUGCUUUCCUUUAUUAUGUUAAUCACUUCAAGUUGUAUAGUUCAUUUUGUGCAAGUCACUCCAAAGCUCAAAAAGUUCUUCAUCCUAAUGAAGGUAACCAGGCACUUCAAGAGUUCCUAUCAGCUCGUAACCCUCGGCAACAGCACUCCUCCACCCUCGAGUCGUACCUCAUCAAACCUAUCCAACGAAUCCUGAAGUACCCUCUCCUCCUGCAACAACUACGAAAUCUUACAGAUCCGCAGUCAGAUCAGCAUUUACACCUUGUUGAGGCCUUAAAAGGAAUGGAGAAGGUUGCAGAGCAUAUUAAUGAAAUGCAACGAAUUCAUGAAGAGUAUGGAGCUAUAUUUGAUCAUCUGUUCCGACAACACCAAAAGUCAUGUAAACAACCCAUAGACCUCAGCCCAGGCGACCUGCUGUACUAUGGUGGUGUAGAGUGGCUCAACAUCUCCGACUUCUUGGGAAAAAUCAAGAAAGGCCUUGAACUUCAUGCCAUGUGUUUUGUGUUCAAAUCAGCUGUAGUUUUUCUAUGUAAAGAGCGGUUAAGACAGAAAAAGAAGUUAAUGAGUGUGGCUAGUAAAGGUAGCUCCAAUGAGGUAGAGAUCAUCCGCUACCAGGUGCUGAUCCCCGUGACGGAGGUGCAGGUGCGGGCCAGCUCGGCCAAGGAUAUGGAUUCACACUUCCUCUGGGAACUGAUACAUCUGCGGAGCCAGCUCCAGCGCCGAUCAGAGAAAGUUUAUGUCCUCUCCAACAGCACGGCAGAUUUCCGUAACGCCUUCUUGAAGACAAUACGACAAAUCAUCCGUGAGAGUGUGAGAAACAUGAGUAUUCCAGCUACGAAACCAGGAACAUCUCCUUCACAGCUGAUUAACAACACAGCAACACUCGGUCGCCAGACGGCCAGCAACAGUGCGGUUGUGAGGAGCAUUAGUGUCCACUUUGCUGGUUGUGAACAGGGUCCCACAAGGCCACCCCGGUCGAAACGCCGCAAACCAAAACCACUCCCGGAGGAGUCGUCAUCAUGCAAGGAUCCCACACCCUCGGCAAGCCGAAGAAACCACCGAAAGGGCCUCAGCGACAUUCCGCAGGAAACAUAGAUUACGACAAUCUGGAAUCUAGGGAACAAAUAGAACCACCUCAACCUAAUACCAACUUUAGAUCAAGAAGUAAAACAGUAUCCGAUGCUGUAGACGCAGAAAAAAACAAACACGACUGUGACCCAGGCACCAAGUCGGAGGGAGAAGACGAGAACAGCCAGUCGGGGACUAAGGGGAAGGCCACACUGGGGCGCACGCCCAACCACCUGACUCUGAGCACCACCUCCACUCUGUCC